AUGUUAUCAUAAGGUAUGGCCACAGUUCUGUAUAUCCAACUUUCAUCUCACUGUAUUCUAAUUUUCAUUUUUCAGAUUAUGAUGUGCUGACAGGAAGUUUCAAAGACAACAGAUAUUUAUUGUAAGAAAAGAAGGGCUACGUCUAACAAAUAUAUUACUACCAAACUGAAAUAGAGAAUGAGGCAGCUGAAGGGCAAAGCAAAGAAAGAAACCCGCCGGGACAAGGAGGAGAGGAAACAGACAUUCCAUGAGGCCAGGAAUCAGGUGGUGACCAUUGUCUUGCCAGUGCUUGGGGCGAUCGUCCUGCUCAUCACUCUUUUUGUCUACGUGAACACCAGGCCAAAGGCAUGAGCUAGACACCAUUUCUCUCCUUGCCUUGCGUGAUGACCAUCACACAACCACAUAGGGGGAAUGCUGCUUUACUACAAUGUGACAAGACACUAUAAGCUUAGUUUUGGUAAGCUAGAGAACAUAGAAGAGUUAAGUCAUUUGCAAGAAAACAGAUACUAGAUCGAUUUUGGAAUCGGUCAGACAUUUCAGGCAGUGUCCACUUAAACUGACAAAAGAAAGAUGCUAAAUUUUUAGAACUGUCAGAUGUUUUAGGUAUCGUCCACUACCUUUUGUAAGUGACAAUGAAGAAAGGUUACUAUAGUUGAUACCAUUUCCAAAGUCUAUCCACUUGCUUGGGUAAUUGCUAUCUUGUAUAUCUUAUCACCUGGAUGUUUAAUAUUCAUUCAUGAGGCCAUUUACAUAUUAGUCAAUAAUGCAGAGUUCAAAGGUCAUACCACCAUGAGAUUCUUACAAAGCAUUCUGAGAUUAGGAACCGGAGGAGUUUUGCUCAGAACAAUCUUGCCAGCAUAAACCCUAUAGUAUGAA
Molecule: long non-coding RNA, 876 nt
Organism: Branchiostoma floridae (Florida lancelet)
Lineage: Eukaryota; Metazoa; Chordata; Leptocardii; Amphioxiformes; Branchiostomatidae
Exons: 3
Source: RefSeq, a predicted model, not a curated record